RNAcentral lists this microRNA precursor (96 nucleotides) under Mesocricetus auratus (golden hamster). RNAcentral describes it as "miRNA (ENSMAUG00000005499.1)". The record is from RNAcentral. Lineage: Eukaryota; Metazoa; Chordata; Mammalia; Rodentia; Cricetidae.
AUGUGUGUAUAAUCAUGGAUGCAUGUGUGUAUACAUAGCCAAAUAUAUGUAGUUACAUGCACACCCACAUACACACACACUCAAUCUCUAAACACA